Molecule: long non-coding RNA, 384 nt
Organism: Acanthopagrus latus (yellowfin seabream)
Lineage: Eukaryota; Metazoa; Chordata; Actinopteri; Spariformes; Sparidae
Exons: 3
Source: RefSeq, a predicted model, not a curated record
UAUAAUGUGAAUCAUUUAAAGCUGUUACUGUGCAUCCACUGGUUCUCAUUUGAUGUGACCAUUAAAAAAGCAGACUUACUCCUCGUCCUCAUACAGAUAUUUCACCGUGAUCCACGGCAACACAAAUAUGAGGGGCGCACCUGAGGACGACAGGGGUGAGAUGUGAAAGUGAUCUGACCUCUUAUCUGUCCACUGCCUCCCCCUACGGUCAAAUAAACAUCAUUUAGGUGCCAUCUUGGAUGCCCCUAAGGCGAAUGACAACCACCAGAGUGUGGGCAGCUGUGCUUCUUACCCCAGCCAAUGGCCAGGUAAAUGUAGAAGUACUUCCUCUCGCUGAACACGGUGAUGACCAGCAAGCUGUGCAGGUAGAUGCCCUCCACCAGC